This is a long non-coding RNA of Rosa rugosa (rugosa rose), 1306 nucleotides long. RefSeq lists it as uncharacterized. Lineage: Eukaryota; Viridiplantae; Streptophyta; Magnoliopsida; Rosales; Rosaceae. The record is from RefSeq and is a predicted model, not a curated record. The transcript is spliced from 8 exons.
AGAGAGAGAGAGAGAGAGAGAGAGAGAGAGAGAGCUUCAGAUUGAGAGUGCCAGAACGAUCUAGAAAGAUUUGAUCCAUUAUCGUUGCAGGCAGAAAGAGAGAGAUCACAGGUCCAACUAAAUAAGUUGGGAGAUCAGCUUGGUUUAGAUGCUUAUGGAAUUCAUGCCAAUGAAGAGGAUUCAAGCAUUAAUAUUGUCAGCGACAGGGAAACUCAUUUUCCAAUCCCCUUAAAUAAGGAGCAGCUAAAUGAUGUUUCUCCGAGCAAGAAAAGGCUCGAUGUAAAUAGGAAUUCUGCCAAGGAACCAAAACGAGGUGGUGUGGGAUAAUAUUGAAGCUACUGUAAAGAGAAUCUACAGAUGCUUGGUUCAAUGAUAUGUCAUCUUGGCAGAUUUGUGCAGAUAAUCGGAGUACUGUGUGCCCAAAUGAAAGGGCAAGCUGUGGCUAUUGUGGCAGCAGUAACCUUACAUGGAAGGUGCCUGCCUUUGCUUCAAACUUUGGAAGAACUGAUGGUUGCUGAGGUCUAUAUAGUGAAUCAUUGUGAUUUGGCUGGUUAAGGCUGCAGUCCAUACAGAUAAUGGGCAAAGCUUCGGCUUUAUUAGUAGCAGUACCACAUGGGUAGGCGUGUGGGGCUAAAUAGUACCACAUGCUUAGAGUUCAUAUGGAACGAGGAAUGCUAACAUUGUUAGCAGUAAGCAUUCCCUUGGCCUUCAUUUGGUUUUACACAAGCCAAAGUUUAAGAAUCUCAGAGCCAACGGUUGCCAACUUCUACGAGUUGAUCUUUUUUGAGACUCAAGGUUGUUCAUGAAAUCUUUUUUCAUCUUAUUUAUGGUUUACAAUUGCUUAACUGUGCUCAAUUGAUGCCAAAAAAAGGUUAAAAAGCAGAACAGAGUUGUUUAGCACUGAGACAAAAAACCUCACAGUUAGCGCCGAACCAGCAAUGUCAUCAACAGACGCUCCACAACUCAACAAGCAGAAAACUGACUGCAGCAGCUUAUCAUUGCAACUCUUGCACCACUUUUUGUAUAGAUAGAAAUGGAGCAAGCAAUUUUUUUCAUAGGCUAACACCUUUUCUAUAUAUAUACCUGGACCAACUAGACCAACUAUUUUUUUGGAAAAUGUUCCAGCAACAACUAACUUCAAACUUAGAUAGCCUAUUUGUUGAACAGUCCACUAUGAUAAGGUCAUCUUUUGUUUUAGAUGAUCUGCAGAUGAAAACAGUUCUAUCAUUUAUAUCCUCUCCUUUUAAGUUUAGGGAAAAGAAUUAUGGUUACGAUUCACAUCCCGCAGCAAAGCGCGGGCACUGUU